AGGGAAUAUUGCGCAAUGGACGGAAGUCUGACGCAGCGACGCCGCGUGAGCGAUGAAGGCCUUCGGGUUGUAAAGCUCUGUCCUUGGGGAAGAAGGUCUUCGGACUUGACGGUACCCAAGAAGAAAGCCCCGGCUAACUACGUGCCAGCAGCCGCGGUAAUACGUAGGGGGCGAGCGUUGUCCGGAACUACUGGGCGUAAAGGGUGCGUAGGCGGCCCUUUAAGUCAGAUGUGAAAGCCCGCAGCUUAACUGCGGAAUUGCAUUUGAAACUGGAGGGCUUGAGUGUCGGAGAGGGUAGUGGAAUUCCCAGUGUAGCGGUGAAAUGCGUAGAUAUUGGGAGGAACACCAGUGGCGAAGGCGACUGCCUGGACGAUAACUGACGCUGAGGCACGAAAGCUAGGGGAGCAAAC
RNAcentral lists this ribosomal RNA (410 nucleotides) under uncultured bacterium. Its description in RNAcentral is "bacterial SSU rRNA". It matches the Rfam family "Bacterial small subunit ribosomal RNA", at positions 356 to 773 of the family's 1533-position model. The record is from RNAcentral.